RNAcentral lists this transfer RNA (85 nucleotides) under Felis catus (domestic cat). It matches the Rfam family "tRNA". From Rfam's summary of the family: Transfer RNA (tRNA) molecules are approximately 80 nucleotides in length. Their secondary structure includes four short double-helical elements and three loops (D, anti-codon, and T loops). Lineage: Eukaryota; Metazoa; Chordata; Mammalia; Carnivora; Felidae. The record is from Rfam by way of RNAcentral.
GCCUGGGUGGCUCAGUCGGUUAAGCAUCUGACUUCAGCUCAGGUCAUGAGCUCACGGUUUGUGGGUUUGAGCCCCGCGUCGGGCC